CUGACACUGACACUGAGGUGCGAAAGCGUGGGUAGCAAACAGGAUUAGAUACCCUGGUAGUCCACGCCGUAAACGAUGUCGACCAGCCGUUGGGUGCCUAGCGCACUUUGUGGCGAAGUUAACGCGAUAAGUCGACCGCCUGGGGAGUACGGCCGCAAGGUUAAAACUCAAAUGAAUUGACGGGGGCCCGCACAAGCGGUGGAGCAUGUGGUUUAAUUCGAUGCAACGCGAAGAACCUUACCUACUCUUGACAUCCUGCGAACUUGUGAGAGAUCACUUGGUGCCUUCGGGAGCGCAGAGACAGGUGCUGCAUGGCCGUCGUCAGCUCGUGUUGUGAAAUGUUGGGUUAAGUCCCGUAACGAGCGCAACCCUUGUCCUUAUUUGCCAGCGGGUAAUGCCGGGAACUCUAAGGAGACUGCCGGUGACAAACCGGAGGAAGGUGGGGACGACGUCAAGUCAUCAUGGCCCUUACGAGUAGGGCUACACACGUGCUACAAUGGCCGGUACAAAGGGUUGCGAGCUCGCGAGAGUCAGCUAAUCCCGAAAAGCCGGUCUCAGUCCGGAUCGGAGUCUGCAACUCGACUCCGUGAAGUCGGAAUCGCUAGUAAUCGUGAAUCAGAAUGUCACGGUGAAUACGUUCCCGGGCCUUGCACACACCGCCCGU
RNAcentral lists this ribosomal RNA (664 nucleotides) under uncultured bacterium. RNAcentral's name for it is "bacterial SSU rRNA". It matches the Rfam family "Bacterial small subunit ribosomal RNA", at positions 734 to 1397 of the family's 1533-position model. The record is from RNAcentral.